Molecule: ribosomal RNA, 433 nt
Filed under: uncultured bacterium
Lineage: Bacteria
Description: partial 16S ribosomal RNA
Rfam family: Bacterial small subunit ribosomal RNA
Source: RNAcentral
AACGAACGCUGGCGGCAUGCCUAACACAUGCAAGUCGAACGAGACCUUCGGGUCUAGUGGCGCACGGGUGCGUAACGCUUGUGAACCUGCCCUUAGGUUCGGAAUAACUCCCCGAAAGGGGUGCUAAUACCGGAUAAUGUCUUCGGACCAAAGAUUUAUCGCCUUUGGAUGGGCCCGCGUUGGAUUAGCUAGUUGGUAGGGUAAAAGCCUACCAAGGCGACGAUCCAUAGCUGGUCUGAGAGGAUGAUCAGCCACACUGGGACUGAGACACGGCCCAGACUCCUACGGGAGGCAGCAGUGGGGAAUAUUGGACAAUGGGCGAAAGCCUGAUCCAGCAAUGCCGCGUGAGUGAUGAAGGCCUUAGGGUUGUAAAGCUCUUUUACCCGGGAUGAUAAUGACAGUACCGGGAGAAUAAGCUCCGGCUAACUCCGUG